CAGAGAAUAGUUUAUAAAAAUAUUAAUUUUGGGAAUUAAAGAUAAAGGGUUUUCUUUUUCUCUGA
RNAcentral lists this transfer RNA (65 nucleotides) under Austruca lactea. Its description in RNAcentral is "tRNA-Pro". Lineage: Eukaryota; Metazoa; Arthropoda; Malacostraca; Decapoda; Ocypodidae. The record is from RNAcentral.